UUAGAAUGCCAGUGAAUGUUCUCUGGGAGUCUUUGACAAAUGUUCAUGUCAUCAGGAUGUCAACCGCUCCAGCUGCUUUCCUGGAUUCUUACAGAAUUCCCAGAGCCAGAUAGGGGUACCACCCGGAGUGAAUGGGAUUCCAGGCCCUGAGCAACAGGAGGGCAGGAGCGAGCCCCUGGGAGGAGCUGCUAUCCAGGAGCAGGAAACAUCCUGACCAGGCCCACCUGUGAAUGGCUGCAGGAAAGAAGAAAUUAUCACAUCCUAUCCAGAGUCCGGCAGAAAUCAGGAAAUAUUUGCAACAACUUAUAGUCUUUUAAAGUUUACCUCCUCACCUCCCCCUGUUUAUUCUAUAAAAGAAACCAGCACCCAAACCUGGGUGAGAUGGUUCUUUGGGACACAAGUCCACCAUCUUCUCGGUCUCCCAGCUUUCCAAAUAAAGUCAUU
Molecule: long non-coding RNA, 444 nt
Organism: Balaenoptera acutorostrata (minke whale)
Lineage: Eukaryota; Metazoa; Chordata; Mammalia; Artiodactyla; Balaenopteridae
Exons: 3
Source: RefSeq, a predicted model, not a curated record